UUUUUAUCCUGUGGGGUUGUACGCCCGCGAUAUAAUAUAUUGUGUUCAAAUUGAGCGUGUUCAACGCAGGUUUCUUCGCUAUGUUGGUUUUAUACUAAAGAUACCUCGUGCGCCUCAUAACUGUACGCCAGUUGCUUCUCACCUUGGUUUAGCCUCCUUAGACGAGUGUCACCGUAUCGCGGGUAUCAAGUUCCUCGCGAAUCUAUUGAACAAUAAUAUUGAUUCGCCUACUCUUCUUUCU
Non-coding RNA from Cinara cedri, 241 nucleotides. NCBI's taxonomy places the organism in Eukaryota, Metazoa, Arthropoda, Insecta, Hemiptera, Aphididae. The record is from the annotation of a GenBank genome assembly.